Patella vulgata (common limpet) is the source of this 233-nucleotide long non-coding RNA. RefSeq lists it as uncharacterized. The record is from RefSeq and is a predicted model, not a curated record. NCBI's taxonomy places the organism in Eukaryota, Metazoa, Mollusca, Gastropoda, Patellidae. The transcript is spliced from 3 exons.
GUCUGCUACUCCUGAUCUCACUCUAGAAUCGCUGGGAUACUGGACGAAUUAUGGUUCAUAUUAUUAUAACAAUGUACCUACUAACUCUACAUAUGAAGAUGUUGUACUAUUAGUACAGUCUCAGCAGUUUCCACAAGUUCCUUUGAAAUAUAUUGAACUGGAUAAUUGGUGAAAUCAAAGGGAUAGUAACGGUAUGUUAUCAUGGAAACCAGAUAAUAAAUCUCUUCCUAACG